Molecule: ribosomal RNA, 524 nt
Filed under: uncultured bacterium
Lineage: Bacteria
Description: bacterial SSU rRNA
Rfam family: Bacterial small subunit ribosomal RNA
Source: RNAcentral
AGAGUUUGAUCAUGGCUCAGAUUGAACGCUGGCGGCAGCCCUUAUACAUGCAAGUCGAACGAGAAAGUUCCUUCGGGAGCGAGUAAAGUGGCGGACGGGUGAGUAACGCGUAGGAAUCUACCUUUCAGUGGGGGAUAGCUCGGGGAAACUCGAAUUAAUACCGCAUACACCCUUCGGGGGAAAGGGGGCCUCUCCUUGGAAGCUCUCGCUGUUAGAUGAGCCUGCGUGAGAUUAGCUUGUUGGUAAGGUAAUGGCUUACCAAGGCUACGAUCUCUAGCUGGUCUGAGAGGACGAUCAGCCACACUGGGACUGAGACACGGCCCAGACUCCUACGGGAGGCAGCAGUAGGGAAUAUUGGACAAUGGGGGCAACCCUGAUCCAGGCAUGCCGCGUGUGUGAAGAAGGCUUUAGGGUUGUAAAGCACUUUAAGUGAGGAAGAAAAGAUUUAAAUUAAUACUUUAAGUCCCUGACAUUACUCACAGAAUAAGGACCGGCUAACUCCGUGCCAGCCGCCGCGGUAAUAC